RNAcentral lists this ribosomal RNA (477 nucleotides) under Elmerina caryae. Its description in RNAcentral is "eukaryotic LSU rRNA". It matches the Rfam family "Eukaryotic large subunit ribosomal RNA", at positions 114 to 591 of the family's 3401-position model. The record is from RNAcentral. Lineage: Eukaryota; Fungi; Basidiomycota; Agaricomycetes; Auriculariales; Aporpiaceae.
UUUGAAAUCUGGCGGUCUCAGGCCGUCCGAGUUGUAAUCUAGAGAGGUGUUUUCCGUGCCGGACCGCGUACAAGUCCCUUGGAACAGGGCGUCAUAGAGGGUGAGAAUCCCGUCCGUGACGCGGACUACCGGUGCUCUGUGAUACACCUUCAAAGAGUCGAGUUGUUUGGGAAUGCAGCUCAAAAUGGGUGGUAAAUUCCAUCUAAAGCUAAAUACAGGCGAGAGACCGAUAGCGAACAAGUACCGUGAGGGAAAGAUGAAAAGAACUUUGGAAAGAGAGUUAAACAGUACGUGAAAUUGUUGAAAGGGAAACGCUUGAAGUCAGUCGCGUCUGUCGGGACUCAGCCUUGCUUCUGCUUGGUGCACUUCUCGGUAGAUGGGCCAGCAUCAAUUUUGGUUGCCGGAAAAGGGUGGGAGGAAUGUGGCAGCUUGCUGUGUUAUAGCCUCCUAUCGUACACGGUGACUGGGAUUGAGGAC